Molecule: transfer RNA, 66 nt
Filed under: Marmota monax (woodchuck)
Lineage: Eukaryota; Metazoa; Chordata; Mammalia; Rodentia; Sciuridae
Description: tRNA.Val
Rfam family: tRNA (bases 5-63)
About the family: Transfer RNA (tRNA) molecules are approximately 80 nucleotides in length. Their secondary structure includes four short double-helical elements and three loops (D, anti-codon, and T loops).
Source: RNAcentral
GGAUUGUAGCUCAGUGGUAGAGCGCUCGCCUAACAUGUGGGGCUCUGGGUUCGAUCCUCAGCACCA